RNAcentral lists this ribosomal RNA (119 nucleotides) under Betta splendens (Siamese fighting fish). The record is from RNAcentral. Lineage: Eukaryota; Metazoa; Chordata; Actinopteri; Anabantiformes; Osphronemidae.
GCUUACAGCCAUACCACCCUGAGCACGCCCGAUCUCGUCUGAUCUCGGAAGCUAAGCAGGGUCGGGCCUGGUUAGUACUUGGAUGGGAGACCGCCUGGGAAUACCAGGUGCUGUAAGCU